Molecule: ribosomal RNA, 253 nt
Filed under: uncultured bacterium
Lineage: Bacteria
Description: partial 16S ribosomal RNA
Rfam family: Bacterial small subunit ribosomal RNA
Source: RNAcentral
AACGUAGGACGCAAGCGUUAUCCGGAGUUACUGGGCGUAAAGCGCGAGCAGGCGGCUCGACAAGUUCGAUGUGAAAGCGCCCGGCUCAACCGGGCGAGGCCAUUGGAAACUAUCGAGCUGGAGGGCGGUAGAGGCAGGCGGAAUUCCGGGUGGAGUGGUGAAAUGCGUAGAGAUCCGGAGGAACACCAGAGGCGAAGGCGGCCUGCUGGGCUGCACCUGACGCUGAGACGCGAAAGCCAGGGGAGCGAACGGG